RNAcentral lists this ribosomal RNA (828 nucleotides) under Acinetobacter sp. 46 DOGU. RNAcentral describes it as "bacterial SSU rRNA". It matches the Rfam family "Bacterial small subunit ribosomal RNA", at positions 513 to 1340 of the family's 1533-position model. Lineage: Bacteria; Pseudomonadati; Pseudomonadota; Gammaproteobacteria; Moraxellales; Moraxellaceae. The record is from RNAcentral.
AGCCGCGGUAAUACAGAGGGUGCAAGCGUUAAUCGGAUUUACUGGGCGUAAAGCGCGCGUAGGCGGCUAAUUAAGUCAAAUGUGAAAUCCCCGAGCUUAACUUGGGAAUUGCAUUCGAUACUGGUUAGCUAGAGUGUGGGAGAGGAUGGUAGAAUUCCAGGUGUAGCGGUGAAAUGCGUAGAGAUCUGGAGGAAUACCGAUGGCGAAGGCAGCCAUCUGGCCUAACACUGACGCUGAGGUGCGAAAGCAUGGGGAGCAAACAGGAUUAGAUACCCUGGUAGUCCAUGCCGUAAACGAUGUCUACUAGCCGUUGGGGCCUUUGAGGCUUUAGUGGCGCAGCUAACGCGAUAAGUAGACCGCCUGGGGAGUACGGUCGCAAGACUAAAACUCAAAUGAAUUGACGGGGGCCCGCACAAGCGGUGGAGCAUGUGGUUUAAUUCGAUGCAACGCGAAGAACCUUACCUGGCCUUGACAUAGUAAGAACUUUCCAGAGAUGGAUUGGUGCCUUCGGGAACUUACAUACAGGUGCUGCAUGGCUGUCGUCAGCUCGUGUCGUGAGAUGUUGGGUUAAGUCCCGCAACGAGCGCAACCCUUUUCCUUAUUUGCCAGCGAGUAAUGUCGGGAACUUUAAGGAUACUGCCAGUGACAAACUGGAGGAAGGCGGGGACGACGUCAAGUCAUCAUGGCCCUUACGGCCAGGGCUACACACGUGCUACAAUGGUCGGUACAAAGGGUUGCUACCUAGCGAUAGGAUGCUAAUCUCAAAAAGCCGAUCGUAGUCCGGAUUGGAGUCUGCAACUCGACUCCAUGAAGUCGGAAUCGNUAGUA